AAUAGACUAUAGUCUGCCCCAGCUCGCUAUGCAUUUGAGACUGACCAUUAAGCUGUAUAUUUUCACCAUGUUUUACUUGUUAAAGCCCAAUCUUUUGGGGUUUUCCCAUUCAAAUGAUCCAAGCAGAUCUGUGGCUGAGGCUUACCUUUCUGUGAGGAGGGCCCUGGCAAAUAAAAUUAGGAAAUCCUGACAUUGUGUUCUUUAAGGAAAAUGCAAACUCAGUAUCUAAAGUGUCAUUCUGAUUUAUAACAUUUGCAUAGGAAUUUAAUAUUGUACAGACUAAAAAGCUAGAAAAAAGUAACAAACAAUAGAAACAGGCAUUACUGCUACUGUAAUUUCAACCGGGACGUUGACAAAUCAUUUUUCCUACAGACAAUGAAUGCCACCUGAAUAGUUUUUCAGGUCUCUUCCUUGUUGUGUGGGUUGAGGGGAACUUGUUCAAGUGUGAAACGUUAAUGAUUUAUGUUGUUUCUUCGUCAAGAAACAGAUAUUCUGCAGUUUCAACAGCACCGCUCACACACAAAGCUGAUGUUACAGGGCUUGAGACACUUUAGUAAACACUUUAGUCCACAGUACACUUUAUCAGCUGUAUCAGCUAAAAUGUCACAUUUCAGUGCUGCACAGGUGCAUUUCGACAUAUUCACCACUAGAUGUCUCAAGAAGACCUAACAGCAGUCGGAUCUUUUGUACAGUGUUACGGUAUUUCUUCAAUGACCCCCAAAUGAUCGGGCUAUCUAGUACAUGGGCUAUUGUUAUGUUCUGCUGUGGAAUACACAUUAAAAUGAUUUUUUCCCCCCUAUUUAGAAUAAUGUCAACUCAUGGACUCAUUUGCCUCAAGGACUACAUUGGAAAAAACCCAGUGAGACUAAUCAGCCCCUGCACUUCAUCUGCUCACAGGCCUGCCUUCAUAAUAUCUUCUAUUUGUUGCUGAGCUGCUGAAGAUCUUUGACAUGAUCAGGGUGCAGCAAAGAGCAGUUGCAGAGGAUGAAUGACCCUGAGAGAAGCGGAGAAUACCAGGAGAAGGGCCUCAGAGAUCGAUGUAUUCACCCACAGAGCUACAGCUCAUAAACUGCAGUAAACAGAGCAGUUUAUGAGCCAGACCCACUGAAUGAGUCACUAAAGCCAUAAUAAAGUACUUACAGGGCACACAAAUUGGACAAUAAAAAUCAAAAUUUGAUCUGAUCUGUAUAGAAUCAGCCCUCUCUUGCUGCCACUCUGUUGAGCACUACUCAACACAAGUGCAUCAUCACUUAAAGGACACAAUAAAGAAAAAUGA
Molecule: long non-coding RNA, 1276 nt
Organism: Acanthopagrus latus (yellowfin seabream)
Lineage: Eukaryota; Metazoa; Chordata; Actinopteri; Spariformes; Sparidae
Exons: 3
Source: RefSeq, a predicted model, not a curated record